CCUACGGGGGGCAGCAGUUUGGAAUUUUGCACAAUGGGCGAAAGCCUGAUGCAGCGACGCCGCGUGGACGAUGAAGGCCUUCGGGUUGUAAAGUCCUUUUGCCACCGAACAAUAUUUUGAGCGUAGGUGGAGAAUAAGAGGUUGCUAACUCUGUGCCAGCAGCAGCGGUAAUACAGAGACCUCAAGCGUUAUCCGGAAUCAUUGGGCGUAAAGCGUACCGACAGGUGGCUUUACAAGUCAGAAGUGAAAUCUUUAAGCUUAACUUAGAGAAUGUCUUUUGAAACUGUAAAGCUAGAGGGGCAAAGAGGAAGCUGGAACCAGCGGUGUAGUAGUGAAAUGCGUUGAUAUCGCUGGGAACACCAAUAGCGUAGGCAGGCUUCUGGGUGCCUCCUGACACUGCUAGGACGAAAGCGUGGGGAGCGAUAAGGAUUAGAUACCCCAGUAGUC
Molecule: ribosomal RNA, 447 nt
Filed under: uncultured bacterium
Lineage: Bacteria
Description: bacterial SSU rRNA
Rfam family: Bacterial small subunit ribosomal RNA
Source: RNAcentral